Molecule: ribosomal RNA, 207 nt
Filed under: uncultured bacterium
Lineage: Bacteria
Description: partial 16S ribosomal RNA
Rfam family: Bacterial small subunit ribosomal RNA
Source: RNAcentral
CGCGUAGGCGGCUGAUCAAGUCAGUAGUGGAAGUCCAUAUUUCAAGUAUGGAAGUGCUAUUGAAACUGAACAGCUUGAGUGCAGGAGAGGUUAUCGGAAUUCCCGGUGUAGCGGUGAAAUGCGUAGAGAUCGGGAGGAACACCAGUGGCGAAGGCGGGUAACUGGACUGCAACUGACGCUGAGGCGCGAAAGUGUGGGGAGCAAACA